RNAcentral lists this microRNA precursor (90 nucleotides) under Oryzias latipes (Japanese medaka). Its description in RNAcentral is "mir-7 microRNA precursor family". It matches the Rfam family "mir-7 microRNA precursor family". Rfam says of the family: This family represents the microRNA (miRNA) precursor mir-7. In this case the mature sequence comes from the 5' arm of the precursor. The record is from Rfam by way of RNAcentral. Lineage: Eukaryota; Metazoa; Chordata; Actinopteri; Beloniformes; Adrianichthyidae. RNAcentral also lists the same sequence under 1 other name.
CGUGUGCCACGCUCUGGAAGACUAGUGAUUUUGUUGUUGUAAAUUUGUGUUUUUGACAACAAGUCACAGUCUACCUCAGUGCUUCACACC